Molecule: ribosomal RNA, 771 nt
Filed under: uncultured bacterium
Lineage: Bacteria
Description: bacterial SSU rRNA
Rfam family: Bacterial small subunit ribosomal RNA
Source: RNAcentral
AAAGCGUGCGUAGGCGGCUUUUAAGUCGGAUGUGAAAUCCCUGAGCUUAACUUAGGAAUUGCAUUCGAUACUGGAAAGCUAGAGUAUGGGAGAGGAUGGUAGAAUUCCAGGUGUAGCGGUGAAAUGCGUAGAGAUCUGGAGGAAUACCGAUGGCGAAGGCAGCCAUCUGGCCUAAUACUGACGCUGAGGUACGAAAGCAUGGGGAGCAAACAGGAUUAGAUACCCUGGUAGUCCAUGCCGUAAACGAUGUCUACUAGCCGUUGGGGCCUUUGAGGCUUUAGUGGCGCAGCUAACGCGAUAAGUAGACCGCCUGGGGAGUACGGUCGCAAGACUAAAACUCAAAUGAAUUGACGGGGGCCCGCACAAGCGGUGGAGCAUGUGGUUUAAUUCGAUGCAACGCGAAGAACCUUACCUGGCCUUGACAUACUAAGAACUUUCCAGAGAUGGAUUGGUGCCUUCGGGAACUUAGAUACAGGUGCUGCAUGGCUGUCGUCAGCUCGUGUCGUGAGAUGUUGGGUUAAGUCCCGCAACGAGCGCAACCCUUUUCCUUAUUUGCCAGCGGGUUAAGCCGGGAACUUUAAGGAUACUGCCAGUGACAAACUGGAGGAAGGCGGGGACGACGUCAAGUCAUCAUGGCCCUUACGGCCAGGGCUACACACGUGCUACAAUGGUCGGUACAAAGGGUUGCUACCUCGCGAGAGGAUGCUAAUCUCAAAAAGCCGAUCGUAGUCCGGAUCGCAGUCUGCAACUCGACUGCGUGAAGUCGGAAUC